Non-coding RNA from Lingula anatina, 73 nucleotides. Lineage: Eukaryota; Metazoa; Brachiopoda; Lingulata; Lingulida; Lingulidae. The record is from Rfam.
GGAUCCUUGGCUCAGCGGUUAGAGCGUUCCGUUGAUAACGGAGAGGUCACAAGUUCGAAUCUUGUAGGAUCCA